Long non-coding RNA from Oncorhynchus tshawytscha (Chinook salmon), 6526 nucleotides. The record is from Ensembl. NCBI's taxonomy places the organism in Eukaryota, Metazoa, Chordata, Actinopteri, Salmoniformes, Salmonidae.
GGUGACGGACAAAAGCAACAAACACCUGUACACAAAGCAGUGGCUGCAUUUCAUCCAUCCAUGACGAUAACCUGUGUGGUUGCCUGUGUGUCUCCUGUCAUACGCCUUUAAAUGUGACUGUGCUGUUGGAACCAUGAUGUUCUCUGCUGUGGAGCGGCUCAAAAUGGAGUCUUGGCCGUUGUCUUUUCUCUGUCUGUCUGUGUCAAGGGGCACCAGUAACUACUGCUCUCACUGCAUCAGACAGAAGAUAUGCAGUGUGUGCAGACAAGGGAAACAUAUUUAUUUGAGAAUCUCUUUAGGGAAUGAGUUCUUUGCCCCUCGGGCUGUCUGCUUCAUGUGGAACCCUCACUGAGACUGCCUCUAUGCAGAGACAUGGCUCUGUCUGCCAGUGGACUUCCAGUUCAGACUGUGUGUACAGCUGGUCCCUUCCUGCAAGAACAUCUGGAGAUCCUGCUCCUCUGUCUGCAGCCUCACACUGGUUGGACAAAGCUACUGGUCAUUGGGUUUUGUCUGGAGGAAGGCUCUUCCCCUGAAUAUAGCUCUCCUAUGGACCUCCAGCCCCUUCGGUCCUGUCCAAACCUCUACAGAAGAGAAAAAUGGAUCCGGUGAUGAGAAGAGGGGGCUGGUGUUUAUUGUUUCUUUGGGGGUUUUUCCCCAAACGUUUUUAAACUCAGGUGUAGAAAAGGAGGAACUUUAAGAUUGAAGAGAAGCCGUCAUCAGAACCCUGUCGACAGACGGGCCUUGCCGUUUACUUUUUGUUGAAUGUAUGUGUGAAUGAUAGAUAUAGACCUGCAGAGAGCCUUCUCUGUUAUGCACUAGGGAUAGUCUACACAUACUGGAGUGGCCUUGGAAUUUUUACGUUGGUGCUUGUUUUAUAUAUAUAUAUAUAUUAGUCGAAGUUGGAAGUUUACAUACACCUUAGCCAAAUGCAUUUAAACUCAGUUUUUCACAAUUCCUGACGUGUUUAAUCCUAGUAACAAUUCCCUGUCUUAAGUCAGUUAGGAUCACCACUUUAUUUUAAGAAUGUGAUAUGUCAGAAUAAGAUAGAGAACAAGGUAGAGAAUGAUUUAUUUAUUUUGUCACAUUCCCAGUGGGUCAGAAGUUUACAUACACUCAAUUAGUAUUUGGUAGCAUUGCCUUUUCAAUUGUUUAACUUGGGUCAACCGUUUCGGGUGGCCUUCCACAAGCUUCCCACAAUAAGUUGGGUGAAUUUUGGCCCAUUCCUCCUGACAGAGCUGGUGUAACUGAGUCAGGUUUGUAGGCCUCCUUGCUCGCACAAGCUUUUUCAGUUCUGCUCACAAAUGUUCUAUAGGAUUGAGGUCAGGGCUUUGUACUGGCCACUCCAAUACCUUGACUUUGUUGUCCUUAAGACAUUUUGCCACAACUUUGGAAGUAUGCUUGGGGUCAUUGUCCAUUUGGAAGACCCAUUUGCGACCAAGCUUUAACUUCCUGACGGUUGUCUUGAGAUGUUGCUUCAAUAUAUCCACAUAAUUUUCCUCCUUAAUGAUGCCAUCUAUUUUGUGAAGUGCACCAGUCACUCCUGCAGCAAAGCACCCCCACAACAUGAUGCUGCCAUCUCCAUGCUUCACGGUUGGGAUGGUGUUCUUCGGCUUGCAAGCCUCCCUCCUUUUCCUCUAAACAUAACGAUGGUCAUUAUGGCCAAACAGUUCUAUUUUUGAUUCAUCAGACCAGAGGACAGUUCUCCAAAAAUAGGAUCUUUGUCCCCAUGUGCAGUUGCAAACCGUAGUCUGGCUUUUUUAUGGCGGUUUUGGAGCAUUGGCUUCUUCCUUGCUGAGCGACCUUUCAGGUUAUGUCGCUAUAGGACUUGUUUUACUGUGGAUAUAGAUACUUUUGUACCUGUUUCCUCCAGCAUCUUCACAAGGUCCUUUGCUGUUGUUCUGUUGUUGGAAAUUGCUCCCAAGGAUGAACCAGACUUGAGGUCUACAAUUUUUUUUCUGGGGUCUUUGCUGAUUUCUUUUGAUUUUCCCAUGAUGUCAAGCAAAGAGGCACAGAGUUUGAAGGUCGGCCUUGAAAUUCAUCCACAGGUACACCUCUAAUUGACUCAAAUGAUGUCAAUUAGCCUAUCAGAAGCUUCUAAAGCCAUGACAUCUCCUGAAAUUUUCCAAGCUGUUUAAAGGCACAGUCAACUUAGUGUAUGGUAACUUCUGACCCACUGGAAUCUGUAGACAAUUGUUGGAUUAAUUACUUGUGUCAUGCACAAAGUAGAUGCCUUAACUGACCUGCCAAAACUAGUUUGUUAACAAUAAAUUUGUGGAGUGGUUGAAAAACGAGUUUUAAUGACUCCGACAUAAGUGUAUGUAAACUUCCGACUUCAACUGUAACUCUUCACUGUAGUUGACCUCUUGUCUCAAACUAGAAUUAUGUUGGAUGGUUUUCCACACUUCCAUGUGUCCUGCUGGUUGGUAUACGCACUAAGUGAACAUGAGUUAGAAUCAACAAUUGAUGUAUGCUAAGGUCUUUUUUUAUGUUAAUGUUGUCAUCUUUACAGCCCAUUUCAUUUAACCUGGACCAUGUAUUGCAUUCCAUACAUUUGGCGAAAAAUAACACCUAACAUGGUAGUCCCACUGUAGCUCCUUUUUAUGGUGAGUUUUAUUAUUCUAUUCGUAACGGUUAAGAUUGUAUCCACAAUUGCACCCAUGCAUGAUUAUUUCUUCACGUCAGUGCUUCAUCCUCCCCAAUUCAAUUAACCUUAUAUAUGUCCUCAGGGUGUACAGUUUUAUACGGGUAUUUUAAUUAAUUAUUUGAAGGACAAGAAAAUAUGACUGGAAUUGUGACAAAUGAAUCAACCUAAUUUUAUGUGAAGAAACUGAUAAACCAAUAUUGUUUUUGCAAGAUUCUGUGUUAUUUUUGGUCCUCUUGUGACAGUGGGGGGGGAGUCUUGCUCACUGCCAACCUGUUUGCUUUGUUUGGGGUUAAAUAAAAUAUCUAUUCCGUUUUGUACUAAUUGGAAUAGUUGAGUUUUUCGACAUUCCAGUUUGUUUUUUGUUUAAUAUUGUUGCUCUUGUCAUUGCCACUAUACAGUACCAGUCAGAAGUUAGGACACCUACUCAUUCAAGGGGUUUUCUUUAUUUUUACUAUUUUCUACAUUGUAGAAUAAUAGUGAAGAAGACAUCAAAACUAUGAAAUAACGCGUAUGAAAUCAUGCAGUAACCAAAAAAGUGUUAAAUCCAAAUAUGUGAUAUUCUUCAAAGUGAGCCACCGUUUGCCUUGAUGAAAGCUUUGCACACUCUUGGUAUUCUCUCAACCAGUUUCACCUGGAAUGCUUUUCCAUCAGUCUUGAAGGAGUUCCCACAUAUGCUGAGCACCUGUUGCCUGGUUUUUCCUUCACUCUGCAGUCCAACUCAUCCUAAACCAUCUCAAUUGAGUUGAGGUUGGGUGAUUGUGGAGGCCAUGUAAUCCGAUGCAGCACUCCAUCACUCUCCUUGGUCUAAUAGCCCUUACACAGCCUGGAGGUGUGUGGGGUCAUUGUCCUGUUGAAAAGAAAAUUAUAGUACCACAAAGAGCAAACCAGAUGGGGUGGUGUGUCGCUGCAGGAUGCACUGGUAGCCAUGCUGGUUAAGUGUGCCUUGAAUUCUAAAUAAAUCACUGACCGUGUCACCAGCAAAGCACCCCCACCGUCACACCACCAUGCUUCAUGGUGGGAACUAGACAUGCGGAGAUCAUCCGUUCACCUGCUCUGCGUCUCACAAAAACACCUCGGUUGAAACCAAAAAUCUCAAACUCAUCAGACCAAAGGACAGAUUUCCACCAUUCCUAAUGUCCAUUGCUUGUGUUUCUUGGCCCAAUAAAUCUUCUUAUUAGUGUCCUUUAGUAGUGAUUUCUUUGUAGCAAUUUGACCAUGAAGGCCUGAUUUCACAUGGUCUCCUCUGAACAGUUGAUGUUGAGAUGUCUUACUUGAACUCUGAAGCAUUUAUUUGGACUGCAAUUUCUGAGGUGCAGUUAACCCUAAUGAACUUGUCCUCUGCAGCAGAGCUAACUCUGGGUCUUCCUUUCCUGUGGUGGUCCUUAUGAGAGCCAGUUUCAUCAUAGCGCUUGAUGGUUUUUGCAACUGCACUUGAAGAAACUUUCAAAGUUCUUAAUUUUCUGCAUUGACUGAGCUUCAUGUCUUAAAGUAAUGAUGGACUGUUUCUCUUUGCUUAUUUGAGCUGUUCUUGCCAUAAUAUGAACUUGGGCUAGCUAAUGUAUACCACCCCUAGACAACUAAUCGACUCAAAUUCAUUAGGAAGGAAAGAAAUUCCACAAACUAACUUUUAACAAGGCACACUUGUUAAUUGAAAUGCAUUCCAGUUGACUACCUCAUGAAGCUGGUUGGGAGAAUGCCACGACUAUGCAAAGCUUUUAUCAAGGCAAAGGGUGGCUACUUUGAUCUAAAAAAAUCCAGGGCUGUAUCACAUCCGGUCAUGAUUGGGAGUCCCAUAGAGCGGCGCACAAUUGGCCCAGCGUCGUCCGGGUUUGGCUGGGGUAGGCCGUCAUUGUAAAUAAGAAUUUGUUCUUAACUGACUUUAUCGAGUCAAAUUUUUUUUUUUAAACAUGUAAGAAAUAUAUUGAUUUAACACUUUUUUGGGUUACUACAUGAUUCCAUAUGCUAUUUCAUAGUUUUGAUGUCUUCACUAUUAUUCUACAAUAUAAAGAAAAACCAUUGAAUGAGUAGGUAUGUUCAAACUUUUGACUGGUACUGUACACGGUGAGUGAUUUUUGUCUUUGAACAAUUAAUCUGUGUAGAUUGAAGUCUUUCCCAUCUUAUCAUAUCCAUGUUGCGCCUGUGAGCCCCACAGGUAUAGUGAUGGCAACAAAUGAAUCUACCUCAUAGCCAGUCCACUGGCAUCCACUAAGUCCCUCCACUCACCAGAGUCAGUCCCCAGCACACAAAUGGCCUAACACUACUAUUGUCAUGACUAUGUCUAAUUAUCCCAGUGCCAAGUCAUGUUACUGUCCUGAACAAAAUCAUAGCGGACCCAUCCUUGGAACAUUUUAUUGUAAGGUUAUUUGUGUUACUGCCGGUGGGGGGUGGGGGGGGUUGUUAAAGGGCGUAUGUCUGAGGUCGUCAGAAAAGGGCUCUUUAAAUAUGAUCUUGUCUCACCAGCUGUAUAGAUUGCAUGCCUUCCUGCCACAGAGUGAGGUGAGUAGACAACCUGAGCCCUGUGGUUCUACUGGAUCUGUGUUAGGCAGCAUAGAGAUGGCAGUGUAGUUCCCUCAAUUAUAGACACCUAUGGCAUUAACAGGAAAUGUGCUCAAGGAGGGAUGAAUAUAGGAAAAUACUAGAAGCUGUGAGACUUUUGAUUUGUCCCAGGAUACUGUAUAUCAGGGAUCAUCAACUAGAUUCAGCCGCAGGCCAAUUUUCUUUCUUGAGCGAAUGGUCGGUGGGCCGGAACAUAAUUACAAAUAAUUUGUAUACUCCAAUUUGACCGCAAGAAGGCCAAAAAUAUAUAUAUCACCUAAAACAUCAUUUCAAACCUUGCUUACAUUUGUAUACGAUCACAUGUAUCUUUCUAUUAUCUGUGGGAAUUCUUAGGAACAAGUUUUGCUCAGAAAACUUGGGGGGCCAAAUAAAACCACCCGCGAGCCAGUUGGGGAACCCUGCUGUUUAAGGAUGUAUUGUUUUACUUGCUAGGGAUUUUUAGUACUAGAUGAGGUCUUCUCGUAGGUAGUGUGAUCAUUUGUGCUGUCCAUGUAUGGACAGUGUAGUUGUAAAUGGUCUGUGAGGUUAUCAUACUGUUAUGCAGCUUUGUUGUCGCUGAUGUGUAGUCUGCACAAGACAUGGAAGUCUGUAUGCCACAACACUCCACUUCUACUCUGUCAUCCAGUUUGUCUGCACUAGUAAAAUAUCUAGAUUUGAUUUAAAUGUGAAUCAUAUUUAUUUGCUCUUAAAUGUUGUACAUUUUGACUUUUUUUAUAUAAAUGUUAUCUUUGGUUGUUUUUUUGUUUUUAAGCAGUUGACAUUUACCUCUGUAGCAUGGCAGCAUCAAAAAAGACCCUGUAUGUUUCAUCUGACUGACAUAGAUUAUUUUGGAAAUGGACUGAAGUAUUUUCUAUACUGCACAUUUCUUAGAAUAAAUAACUUUUCCUGAAUUGAAGUAUGUUGCUUGUUCUCCAUUUUCUUUGGUGGGAGGGAGAGCUGAGGCUUGGGUGAUGUUACUGAAAAUGCUUAGGCCUAUCAAAGGACAGUUUCUUGUAAAGGAGUAGCCUAUCGGAUAGGCCUACUGGUAUGGCAGAAACGUAGGUGUAAGGCUUCUGACUUGAUUAUUUAAAUAAUGCAAGACUGUUUAUGCCUUGAUGAAUUGGAAAAUGGAAUUGGAAAAACUAAGACCUGGCUUCUGCAUUGAUGUUUCUGUCUUGAAGUGUUUGUCAUUGUCCUCGUUUUAGUACACUUUUAUAAUCGAUGUUAUAUCAAAUAAUUAAAUGGGAUACUCUUAGCCAUGGUCAGAAUUCCAGUGUUCAGGUACAGUAACUGUGGAUCCAUAUGUGCAAGGCAUGGACUUAUGGACCUGCAACCUUAACUGUCAAC